GAGGCAGAGUCUCACUCUGUCCAUUGCCCAGGCUGUAGAGCAAUGGCGUGAUCUCAGCUCACUGCAACCUCUGCCUCCCGGGUUCAAGCAAUUCUCCUGCCUCAGCCUCCCGAGUAGCUAGAACACAGGUGCCCGCCACCACAUCCGGCUAAUUUUUUGUAUUUUUAGUAGAGGUGGGGUUUCAUCAUGUUGGCCAGGCUGGUCUGGAACUCCUGACCUCAGGUGAUCCACCUGCCUUGGCCUCCCAAAGUGCUGGGAUUACAGGCGUGAGCCACUGCGCCUGGCUGCUCUGCUUUUUACCCAUAGCUCUGGCUCUAAUAUAUGACACUGCCCCUCCCUGAAUUAGAAUGGAGGCUACAGGGGGAUGCUGGUCUGUUAGUUGACUGAUGCAUCUUCAGCACUUAAGACAGUGUCUGGCACAGAGUAGGAACAGAAUAUGGUCCUGUAACAAAUACUGAAGGUUGUGCUCUGUGCACCUGGGAUAGAGCAGGAGCAAGACACAUCAUUCCUGCCCUCACAGGGUUAUGGUCUCCUAGGUGACAAGGUAGUGCACACUUCCAUAGGUCUUACUCUGGGACAAGUACUGUGCCAAAUGCUUCCUCCCAGCCGCCUGAUGAGGUAGCUACUGUUAGUUAUCAAGUCUGAUUUACAGUUUUUAUGUGGGGCAGGGUCUCCAAAGUACACGGGCUCUUUUCCCCACCCCUCUACCCUCAUUUUAACUGUGCAUCAAAUGGGUCCUGUUUCUUCUUCAUGUAUAAUUUUGCAGUGGGCUGAGGUUCAGGAGUUAAGUCAGCCCCAGGGCACAGGGUGGUGCAACAGAAGAGCCUGAGUCGAAUCCAGAUCUCCCCUCUCCACUAUUGGUCCAACAAGUGCAGUUCUUCUAGUCUCCUAUCUAGAUAAGCAGGAUAUUAGAAGGAAUAGGAGAGGCCUGCAAAAAGCUAUGAUAGGGUGGAAAUAGGAUAGGAGAAACUGAAAAAAGGGGAGGCGUGCGCUCCAACACCUCCAUAGCCCUUGGGGACGGGCUUAGUUUCUAAUGAGAAUACAGAAGGCCCAUGUCUCAAUAGGCCCCGAAAAAUAUUAAUCCAGCCCAAUAUGAACAGUCUGCUAAUUAUAUGACUGGGCCUGCUUAGGAGAUCAGGGCAAUAUUACAUUCAGAGUACUCAGUUUAGGAAGAUGACACAGUGUAAUACAUACAGAUUUCCAUCAUUUCUUUUAUUCCUCAUUUGGAGAGGCAACAGGGCUGAGAUAGACAUGUUAGCGAUGGCUAGAUUGAUUGAUUUAUUGACUGAAUGAAUGGCCUGCUUUAGGCAGCGGGAACACUGAAUGAACAUUUUAAAAUCAGCUGGUAUAGGUCAGGAACUGUGCAGGUUGCUGGGAAUGGGUAGAUGAAAAGACAUUGCUAUGGUUUGGCUGUGUCCCCACCUAAAUUUCACCUUGAAUUGUAAUCCCCAUGUUUCAAGGGUGGGACCAGGUGGAGAUAAUUGAAUGGGGGGGUGGUUUCUCCCAUACUAUUCUGGUGGUAGUGAAUAAGUCUCACGAGAGCUGAUGGUUUUAUAAAUGGGAGUUCCCCUGCACAAGCCCUCUUGCCUGCCACCAUGUAAGAUGUGACUUUGCGCCUCCUUCCCCUUCCACCGUGAUUGUGAGGCCUCGCCAGCCAUGUGGAACUGUGAGUCAAUUAAGCCUCUUUCCUUUAUAAAUUACCCAGUCUCAGGUAUGUCUUCAUUUGCAGCAUGAGAACAGACUAAUACAGACAUGGACCUUGGCUGUAGGGAGUUUGCACUGUAGUGACGGCAAGAGCUCACGUGAUCCAUUUUAAGAUAGAAGAGCGAGCUCAGGCAGAGGAACACAGAGCCAGGAUGGUCCAUGCACGGAAUCUGGCCCUGCCCUUACUUUCUCCAGGAGCAUGGGCUGGGUCCCUCUCCUCCCUAAUCCUCACUUUGCUCAUGUGUGAAAUGUAGAUCAAGUAAGUUCUACACUCAGAGGUCUCUUGUGAAGAUUAAAUGAGAAAAGGCAUGGAAACUGCCUUUGCACACAGCCUGGUAUAUCCUGAUGUCUGCUGAUACUCUUAUUUUUAUGUUCCUUGACAUUCCAAAUCUGCCCCAGGGAGAAUUCCAGGACAGCUCUGGAGAGGAAGUGAUCUUUGAAUCCAACCUUGAAAUCACCCUAGGAGAUGCAAAGAAGGUGACACCAGUUAAGAAUAAGAUGUGUACCCAUUUUCAAAUGUUCUUUUUUUUUUUUUUCAGAUGGAGUCUCGCUCUGAUGCCUAGGCUGGAGUGCAGUGGGGUGAUCUCGGCUAAUUGCAACCUCCGCCUCCCGGGAUAAAGCGAUUCUCCUGCCUCAGCCUCCCGAGUAGCUGGGAUUACAGGCGCCUGCCACCAUGCCCAGCUAAUUUUUGUGUUUUUAGUAGAGAUGGGAUUUCACCAUGUUGGCCAGACUGGUCUUGAACUCCUGACCUCAAGAAUCCACCUGCCUUGGCCUCCCAAAGUGCUGAGAUUACAGGCAUGAGGCACUGCACCUGGCCCAAAUCUUCUCAGUUCUAAAUGGCUGUGAUAAAAACUACAUUGAUAAUUUUUUUUUUUUUUUUUUUUUGGAGAUGGAGUCUCGCUCUGGUGCCCAGGCUGAAGUGCAAUGGCGCAAUCUUGGCUCACUGCAAGCUCCGCCUCCUGGGUUCACGCCAUUCUCCUGCCUCAGCCUCCCGAGUAGAUGGGGCUACAGGCGCCUGCCACCACCCCCGGCUAAUUUUUUUUGUAUUUUUAGUAGAGACGGGGUUUCACCAUGUUAGCCAGGAUGGUCUUGAUCUCCUGACCUCGUGAUCCGCCCACCUCAGCCUCCCAAAGUGCUGGGAUUACAGGCCUCUGCGCCUGGCCUUGCAUUGACAAUUAAUUUGUUUAUGGAAAGCCAGUUAUCCAAUGAUGGUGAACAAAUGCAACUUGACUGUAUAAUACUUAUUUUGGUUUUGGACCAAAGUCACCAUUAAAUAUGCCAAGUUCUUGUUCAAG
This 2999-nucleotide long non-coding RNA is filed under the name Homo sapiens (human). Its description in RNAcentral is "HSALNT0362732". Lineage: Eukaryota; Metazoa; Chordata; Mammalia; Primates; Hominidae. The record is from RNAcentral.